GAUGAACGCUGGCGGCGUGCCUAAUACAUGCAAGUCGAGCGAACAGAUAAGGAGCUUGCUCCUUUGACGUUAGCGGCGGACGGGUGAGUAACACGUGGGUAACCUACCUAUAAGACUGGGAUAACUUCGGGAAACCGGAGCUUAUACCGGAUAACAUUUGGAACCGCAUGGUUCUAAAGUGAAAGAUGGUUUUGCUAUCACUUAUAGAUGGACCCGCGCCGGAUUAGCUAGUUGGUAAGGUAACGGCUUACCAAGGCAACGAUACGUAGCCGACCUGAGAGGGUGAUCAGCCACACUGGAACUGAGACACGGCCCAGACUCCUACGGGAGGCAGCAGUGGGGAAUCUUCCGCAAUGGGCGAAAGCCUGACGGAGCAACGCCGCGUGAGUGAUGAAGGGUUUCGGCUCGUAAAACUCUGUUAUUAGGGAAGAAAAAAUGUGUAAGUAACUGUGCACGUCUUGACGGUACCUAAUCAGAAAGCCACGGCUAACUACGUG
This 497-nucleotide ribosomal RNA is filed under the name uncultured bacterium. RNAcentral describes it as "partial 16S ribosomal RNA". It matches the Rfam family "Bacterial small subunit ribosomal RNA", at positions 28 to 507 of the family's 1533-position model. The record is from RNAcentral.